GCCUACGGGAGGCAGCAGUGGGGAAUAUUGCACAAUGGGGGAAACCCUGAUGCAGCAACGCCGCGUGAAGGAAGACGGUUUUCGGAUUGUAAACUUCUAUCAAUAGGGAAGAAAGAAAUGACGGUACCUAAAUAAGAAGCCCCGGCUAACUACGUGCCAGCAGCCGCGGUAAUACGUAUGGUGCAAGCGUUAUCCGGGUUUACUGGGUGUAAAGGGAGCGCAGGCGGUGCGGCAAGUCUGAUGUGAAAGCCCGGGGCUCAACCCCGGGACUGCAUUGGAAACUACCGAACUAGAGUGUCGGAGAG
RNAcentral lists this ribosomal RNA (305 nucleotides) under uncultured bacterium. Its description in RNAcentral is "bacterial SSU rRNA". It matches the Rfam family "Bacterial small subunit ribosomal RNA", at positions 337 to 656 of the family's 1533-position model. The record is from RNAcentral.